AAGAAUUUAGUCAGGAUUUGGCCAGAUGCCGAAAGAAGGAAAGAAGAAAAAUUUAAUUAAAAUAAAGAAAUAUGAAGAAUGAAAACUGAAUAAAAUCAAAAAGAAUAAUCAAAGAAAAAAUAGUAAAAAUUUGUGGGUUGUCUCCCACGAAGCGCUUUGUUUAAUGUCGCAAGCUCGACAUAAAACUAUUAAAUGUUAAUCUAUUAAUUUUGGAGACAAUACGUCUAAGUGCAGGACUUGCGAG
Molecule: long non-coding RNA, 244 nt
Filed under: Lathyrus oleraceus (garden pea)
Lineage: Eukaryota; Viridiplantae; Streptophyta; Magnoliopsida; Fabales; Fabaceae
Description: Pisum sativum (pea) long non-coding RNA (PSAT_LNC017828)
Source: RNAcentral